RNAcentral lists this ribosomal RNA (496 nucleotides) under uncultured bacterium. RNAcentral's name for it is "partial 16S ribosomal RNA". It matches the Rfam family "Bacterial small subunit ribosomal RNA", at positions 28 to 523 of the family's 1533-position model. The record is from RNAcentral.
GACGAACGCUGGCGGAAUGCUUUACACAUGCAAGUCGAACGGUAGAGGGGGCAACCCCUCGAGAGUGGCGAACGGGUGAGUAAUAUAUCGGAACGUGCCCAGUCGUGGGGGAUAACGUAGCGAAAGUUACGCUAAUACCGCAUACGAUCUACGGAUGAAAGCGGGGGACCGUAAGGCCUCGCGCGAUUGGAGCGGCCGAUGUCAGAUUAGGUAGUUGGUGGGGUAAAGGCUCACCAAGCCGACGAUCUGUAGCUGGUCUGAGAGGACGACCAGCCACACUGGGACUGAGACACGGCCCAGACUCCUACGGGAGGCAGCAGUGGGGAAUUUUGGACAAUGGGCGCAAGCCUGAUCCAGCCAUUCCGCGUGCAGGACGAAGGCCUUCGGGUUGUAAACUGCUUUUGUACGGAACGAAAAGGCUCUGGUUAAUACCUGGGGCUCAUGACGGUACCGUAAGAAUAAGCACCGGCUAACUACGUGCCAGCAGCCGCCGUAA